GAACAGCAGUGAAGCCACCAGAUCAGCACUGUUCUCCACAUCAUCAUGGGAGUCAUGACUGUGUCUGUUUUCUGCAUCCUCCUCACCUUCCUGGUGACUGAGAGUUUUGCAGUUCCAGGCCGGAAGGAGUGUAAUUAUGGGUUUUCUCGACCAAACCCCUCCUGGAAGUCAUGCUACCUUUUGGACCAAAAGUUAAGAUCAUGGUCUGAUGCAAAGGAGCUAUGCCUUCAAAAAGGUGGAACCCUAGCUUCUAUCAAAAACAAUGAACAGUUACAAUAUGCAUAUGAGAUGAUUCCAGACGGAUAUUUCUGGGUUGACGGGAACUAUGUGUCUGGAUUUCCCCAGAAUAACUGGUUGCCGGGUUCAAAGCCAGGUGGGACAAAUGCCGACUGCUUGACAUUGGUGAAAUUCCCUGGUUAGUAUCAGAAACAUAUUCUUGCUUAAAUAACAUUAAGUCAUAAGAGCUGGAGACUCACAAAAACAUUCUUCUCAACAGCGGGAAGAGGCUUUAGUGAUAUUGCCUGUUCCGAAAAAAUUGACUCUGCCUACGCUCUCUGUGAGUCCUAUGCUACCUACUGAAGUGUCCACUCAGAGAAUACAAAGGGAUGUUCUUUUUGUACUAUUGCACACACUAUUUAGACUUUACUUUAAGUGAAAGACACAGAGAAAAUUAUAAGGUAUAUUAUGGCUACCUAGAGCAUACCUACAUUUAUUCAGGUGUGACCUUUUAUUAAAUAGUUUCUUAUUUUGUAAUGGAAUUGUAAUAGUGUUAUGGAAGCUUUUUAAAGGCCCUGUGAAGUCUAAUGUUCUUUGUUUUUUUUGUUUUUUGUAAUAUUUCUACACUAUGAAGUGGAAACAACACACUGAAAUUGUGACCAUAAUUAUUAUUCCCUUUUUUUGUAAGAGCUGUAUAGAAUGUCAAGGAUUUAUUAGCCGUAUAGUGAAUAAAAAAUAUUACAAAAAACAUGUUUUCUUUAGA
Long non-coding RNA from Esox lucius (northern pike), 979 nucleotides. NCBI's taxonomy places the organism in Eukaryota, Metazoa, Chordata, Actinopteri, Esociformes, Esocidae. The record is from Ensembl.